This 496-nucleotide ribosomal RNA is filed under the name uncultured bacterium. RNAcentral describes it as "partial 16S ribosomal RNA". It matches the Rfam family "Bacterial small subunit ribosomal RNA", at positions 28 to 507 of the family's 1533-position model. The record is from RNAcentral.
GAUGAACGCUGGCGGCGUGCCUAAUACAUGCAAGUCGAGCGAACAGACGAGGAGCUUGCUCCUCUGACGUUAGCGGCGGACGGGUGAGUAACACGUGAUAACCUACCUAUAAGACUGGGAUAACUUCGGGAAACCGGAGCUAAUACCGGAUAAUAUAUUGAACCGCAUGGUUCAAUAGUGAAAGACGGUUUUGCUGUCACUUAUAGAUGGAUCCGCGCCGCAUUAGCUAGUUGGUAAGGUAACGGCUUACCAAGGCAACGAUGCGUAGCCGACCUGAGAGGGUGAUCGGCCACACUGGAACUGAGACACGGUCCAGACUCCUACGGGAGGCAGCAGUAGGGAAUCUUCCGCAAUGGGCGAAAGCCUGACGGAGCAACGCCGCGUGAGUGAUGAAGGUCUUCGGAUCGUAAAACUCUGUUAUUAGGGAAGAACAAAUGUGUAAGUAACUAUGCACGUCUUGACGGUAUCUAAUCAGAAAGCCACGGCUAACUACGUG